GAGGUUAUAGCUCAGUGGUAGAGUACAUGCUUAGCAUGCAUGAGGUCAUGAGUUUGAUCCCCAGUACCUCCA
RNAcentral lists this transfer RNA (72 nucleotides) under Camelus bactrianus (Bactrian camel). It matches the Rfam family "tRNA". Rfam says of the family: Transfer RNA (tRNA) molecules are approximately 80 nucleotides in length. Their secondary structure includes four short double-helical elements and three loops (D, anti-codon, and T loops). Lineage: Eukaryota; Metazoa; Chordata; Mammalia; Artiodactyla; Camelidae. RNAcentral also lists the same sequence under 3 other names. The record is from Rfam by way of RNAcentral.